This 229-nucleotide ribosomal RNA is filed under the name uncultured bacterium. RNAcentral's name for it is "partial 16S ribosomal RNA". It matches the Rfam family "Bacterial small subunit ribosomal RNA", at positions 568 to 796 of the family's 1533-position model. The record is from RNAcentral.
UGCGUAGGCGGGAUUAUAAGUCAGUGGUGAAAUCUUGUGGCUUAACCAUAAAAUUGCCAUUGAUACUGUAGUCCUUGAGUCCGUUCGAGGUGGUUGGAAUGCGUAGUGUAGCGGUGAAAUGCAUAGAUAUUACGCAGAACACCUAUUGCGAAGGCAGAUCACUAGGACGGAACUGACGCUGAUGCACGAAAGCGUGGGGAGCGAACAGGAUUAGAUACCCUGGUAGUCC